Oncorhynchus tshawytscha (Chinook salmon) is the source of this 488-nucleotide long non-coding RNA. RefSeq lists it as uncharacterized. The transcript is spliced from 3 exons. Lineage: Eukaryota; Metazoa; Chordata; Actinopteri; Salmoniformes; Salmonidae. The record is from RefSeq and is a predicted model, not a curated record.
CCAGUGUUUAAAUCUCAGGAAGUAGCUCCCAACAUCAGCAAGAGAGGAUGAAGUAAAUUAAACAAAAAGGAUCUACUUGAAAGUGAAGAGGGAGUAAGAUCACUAGAAAGCAGCAUGCUGCCAAACCACCAAAAGGAAAGGGGGAUAUCUAGUUGAAGUACAUCGCUAAUACCCAGACAGAUCUGAAGAACUUGGGAACCUCACCAGGAAAAUCAUCUUAUUCUUGGAGUUUAUUCACAAGGUUAGAUAGAAAUAGAUCCACACAUGUUAUUCUCUAUCAUGCAGAAUUGUCGCUAAACGUGUAACUUGGGAAGCUCAUUCAAUAAUACAGACGUGGGUGAUUUCUGUCCCAGGGGACUGAACUGUAUGCAAGUUUUUGUUCAAUUUAGACCACAAUUAGUUGAGGUGUUAGUGAAGUUCUGGAACAAAAAUGCUGCCACCACUAUGCUUCACCAUAGCGAUGGUGCCAGGUUUCCUCCAGAUGUGAC